RNAcentral lists this ribosomal RNA (250 nucleotides) under uncultured bacterium. RNAcentral describes it as "partial 16S ribosomal RNA". It matches the Rfam family "Bacterial small subunit ribosomal RNA", at positions 796 to 1041 of the family's 1533-position model. The record is from RNAcentral.
CUAGCCCUAAACGGUGCUUGCUUGCUGUAAGUGGAAUCGACCCCACUUGUGGCGGAGCUAACGCGUUAAGCAAGCCGCCUGGGAAGUACGGUCGCAAGAUUAAAACUCAAAGAAAUUGACGGGGGCCUGCACAAGCGGUGGAGUAUGUGGCUUAAUUCGAUGCAACGCGAAGAACCUUACCUGGCCUUGACAUGCAAGUAGUAGAAGGAUGAAAGUCUAACGAGGUAGCAAUACCAGCUUGCACAGGUGC